This 437-nucleotide ribosomal RNA is filed under the name uncultured bacterium. RNAcentral's name for it is "bacterial SSU rRNA". It matches the Rfam family "Bacterial small subunit ribosomal RNA", at positions 355 to 786 of the family's 1533-position model. The record is from RNAcentral.
UGAGGAAUAUUGGUCAAUGGGCGGGAGCCUGAACCAGCCAAGUCGCGUGAGGGAAGACGGCCCUACGGGUUGUAAACCUCUUUUGCCGGGAGCAAAGAAGCCACGGAGUGAUUCUUUUGAGAGCGUAAACCCGGAGAAAAGGCAUCGGCUAACUCCGUGCCAGCAGCCGCGUAAUACGGAGGAUGCGAGCGUUAUCCGGAUUUAUUGGGUUUAAAGGGUGCGUAGGCGGCGCGACAAGUCAGCGGUAAAAAUUCGGGGCUCAACCCCGCUCCGGCCGUUGAAACUGUCGUGCUCGAGUGAGCGAGAAGUAUGCGGAAUGCGAGGUGUAGCGGUGAAAUGCAUAGAUAUCACGCAGAACUCCGAUUGCGAAGGCAGCAUACCGGCGCUCGACUGACGCUGAGGCACGAAAGCGUGGGGAUCAAACAGGAUUAGAUACC